Molecule: long non-coding RNA, 308 nt
Filed under: Solanum tuberosum (potato)
Lineage: Eukaryota; Viridiplantae; Streptophyta; Magnoliopsida; Solanales; Solanaceae
Description: long non-coding RNA (STUB_LNC000658)
Source: RNAcentral
UUGAACAACCUUACAACUUGCUUGACUUGCUUAACUUCUAAGCUUAACUCUUAACUUCUAACUUCACUUGACUUCUAACUAACUCUCCUUGAAUUGGAAUUUUGGAUUCAAGGUGUUUGAUCACAUGUUACGGAUGAGUUCUUGACUUUUAGAAGUACCUUGGAGUGUUGGAAACAACUAGGAAACAUAGGUAUAAUACCUAGGAACAUGUAUGAAAAAGUGGGGAAUUAAGGUAACGGGAAGGAUUGGCGUCCUUGGCGCUCUAAAGGUAACGGGAAGGAUUGGCGUCCUUGGCACUCUAAGAGGCG